Molecule: ribosomal RNA, 438 nt
Filed under: Lysinibacillus sp.
Lineage: Bacteria; Bacillati; Bacillota; Bacilli; Caryophanales; Bacillaceae
Description: bacterial SSU rRNA
Rfam family: Bacterial small subunit ribosomal RNA
Source: RNAcentral
CGGGGAAAAUCCUUCCCGCAAUGGGGCGAAAGCCUGAUGGAGCAACGCCGCGUGAGCCCUUUAAGGUUUUCGGAUCGUAAAACUCUGUUGUAAGGGAAGAACAUUUUCAGUAGUAACUGGCUGUACCUUGACGGUACCUUAUUAAAAAGCCACGGCUAACUACGUGCCAGCAGCCGCGGUAUUACGUAGGUGGCAAGCGUUGUCCGGAAUUAUUGGGCGUAAAGCGCGCGCAGGCGGUCCUUUAAGUCUGAUGUGAACCCCACCGCUCAACCGUGGAGGGUCAUUGGAAACUGGGGGACUUGAGUGCAGAAGAGGAAAGUGGAUUUCCUAGUGUUUUGGUGAAAUGCGUACAGAUUGUGAGGAACAUCUUUGGCGAAGGCCACUUUCGGGUCUUUAACUGACACUGAGGCCCUAAUUUUUGGGGAGCAAAAUAAACUU